GGUUCUGUCUAUUUGCCAAUGAGAAGUCAUUCAUUUUCAAUUUCAGGAAGACGGAGCCUAAUGAUUUUGAUUUGUUGAUUUGGUCAAGGCCUUGGGUUCUUGUACACAUUUUCAAUUUGCUAGUUUCUACAAUAGAUCCCACAAUGGUUAUUGUACAAAAGCAUCAUUGAAUAGUUUCUAGGCUCUUAAACUGUCUUUCUAACCAUUCUUGAAUAUUUCUGCUUGCUACUUUGAAUGAAUCUUAAGAUUUAUGCACAGAUGUUGGUGGAGUUUGUAUGAUUUUCCAACACAGAUUAAAAAGUUUGAGAAGUUUUACUGGAUUUAUUGAUACAUCUAUUUUUCUGUCCUAUAUGUCAUCUAUUUUAGUGAAAUGUCAAACACUUUGUUAAGCUACGAUUGAAUGUAUUUGAAACACUGAUACCGUCUCACCUAAUAUUUAGGGGCCCUUUGUUUUGUGAUCCAGGAAAAAGCAAAUCAAGUGAGAAGCUAAAAGAAGGACCCAGCUGAGAAGACAUGCGCUCUGGUAGCGAGAGAUAUACUGAAAGAAAUGGAUGUUAAUACUAGAUAUUCAGUUUGGGAGAACAGCAGGUCUGAUAUCGGAGGGGUACAUUGGAUUAUUAUCAGCAGUUUUAUGGCGAAGAUUACCAUGUUGAGUUCCCCUUUUGAAGCUUUAGCCCAUAUGACGUCUCUUUUAAGAUGCCUUUAUUGCUUACCGUAUCACUUGUUAGAGCCAUGCUGGAUUAUCGUAUCAUAGAUUAGGACGGUACAAGGAUGCCGUAAAAAAUACCACUCAAUGGUAUUGGAAAUCUUUGGCUGAGGACAUGAUAAAUCUGGUAAUACUGACUGAAGCUUGCAAAGCUGUUGUGGACUGUUAACCUGUACUCAGUUCAAUCUAAUUGUAUCAGUCAGUUCAUGAGUUUGCACUGUAUGUAUUCUCAAACAUAAAAUUAAAAUUUUCACAUA
Long non-coding RNA from Papaver somniferum (opium poppy), 963 nucleotides. RefSeq lists it as uncharacterized. The record is from RefSeq and is a predicted model, not a curated record. NCBI's taxonomy places the organism in Eukaryota, Viridiplantae, Streptophyta, Magnoliopsida, Ranunculales, Papaveraceae. The transcript is spliced from 2 exons.